Molecule: transfer RNA, 73 nt
Filed under: Candidatus Dojkabacteria bacterium
Lineage: Bacteria
Description: tRNA-Arg
Rfam family: tRNA
About the family: Transfer RNA (tRNA) molecules are approximately 80 nucleotides in length.
Source: RNAcentral
GUUGCUGUAGCUCAAUGGAUAGAGCAGAUCCGUCCUAAGGAUAAGGUUGGGGGUUCAAGUCCCUCCAGCAACA